RNAcentral lists this ribosomal RNA (236 nucleotides) under uncultured bacterium. Its description in RNAcentral is "partial 16S ribosomal RNA". It matches the Rfam family "Bacterial small subunit ribosomal RNA", at positions 118 to 347 of the family's 1533-position model. The record is from RNAcentral.
UGAGGAACAUGACCUUCGGCGGGGGAUAGCCGGCCCAACGGCCGGGUAAUACCGCGUACGACCACAUGGGGACAUCCCUGAGUGGUGAAAGCAGCAAUGCGCCGAUGGAGUGCCUCGCGGCCUAUCAGCUAGUUGGUGAGGUAACGGCUCACCAAGGCGACGACGGGUAGCUGGUCUGGAGAGGAUGGCCAGCCANAGUUGGGACUGAGACACGGCCCAGACCUCGUAACGGGGAG